This 496-nucleotide ribosomal RNA is filed under the name uncultured bacterium. Its description in RNAcentral is "partial 16S ribosomal RNA". It matches the Rfam family "Bacterial small subunit ribosomal RNA", at positions 29 to 507 of the family's 1533-position model. The record is from RNAcentral.
GUGAACGCUGGCGGCGUGCCUAAUACAUGCAAGUCGCGCGAACAGACGAGGAGCUUGCUCCUCUGACGUUAGCGGCGGACGGGUGAGUAACACGUGGAUAACCUACCUAUAAGACUGGGAUAACUUCGGGAAACCGGAGCUAAUACCGGAUAAUAUAUUGAACCGCAUGGUUCAAUAGUGAAAGACGGUUUUGCUGUCACUUAUAGAUGGAUCCGCGCCGCAUUAGCUAGUUGGUAAGGUAACGGCUUACCAAGGCAACGAUGCGUAGCCGACCUGAGAGGGUGAUCGGCCACACUGGAACUGAGACACGGUCCAGACUCCUACGGGAGGCAGCAGUAGGGAAUCUUCCGCAAUGGGCGAAAGCCUGACGGAGCAACGCCGCGUGAGUGAUGAAGGUCUUCGGAUCGUAAAACUCUGUUAUUAGGGAAGAACAAAUGUGUAAGUAACUAUGCACGUCUUGACGGUACCUAAUCAGAAAGCCACGGCUAACUACGUG